CCUGCCUCAUACUGGGGAAUAAUAGUUGGAAACGACUGCUAAUACCCCAUGACAUAAGAAAGUCGCACGGCUAACUUAUGAAAAAUUUAUUGGUAUGAGAUGGGCCCGCGUCUGAUUAGCUAGUUGGUGAGGUAACGGCCCACCAAGGCGACGAUCAGUAGCCGGCCUGAGAGGGUGAACGGCCACAUUGGGACUGAGACACGGCCCAAACUCCUACGGGAGGCAGCAGUGGGGAAUAUUGCACAAUGGGGGAAACCCUGAUGCAGCAACGCCGCGUGAGUGAAGAAGUAUUUCGGUAUGUAAAGCUCUAUCAGCAGGGAAGAAAAUGACGGUACCUGACUAAGAAGCCCCGGCUAACUACGUGCCAGCAGCCGCGGUAAUACGUAGGGGGCAAGCGUUAUCCGGAUUUACUGGGUGUAAAGGGAGCGUAGACGGUGGUGCAAGUCUGAAGUGAAAGCCCGGGGCUCAACCCCGGGACUGCUUUGGAAACUGUACGACUAAAGUGCAGGAGAGGUAAGUGGAAUUCCUAGUGUAGCGGUGAAAUGCGUAGAUAUUAGGAGGAACACCAGUGGCGAAGGCGGCUUACUG
Molecule: ribosomal RNA, 588 nt
Filed under: uncultured bacterium
Lineage: Bacteria
Description: bacterial SSU rRNA
Rfam family: Bacterial small subunit ribosomal RNA
Source: RNAcentral